RNAcentral lists this long non-coding RNA (647 nucleotides) under Homo sapiens (human). Its description in RNAcentral is "non-protein coding lnc-ODF3L1-2:7". The record is from RNAcentral. Lineage: Eukaryota; Metazoa; Chordata; Mammalia; Primates; Hominidae.
GUGAUCGUCGAAUCUGUUGACCUGGCGCCACCGGAAAAAGAAAUUCCCGGGCCCUGGCUUCUUGGCCUGAUGGUGCUAAAGUGGAGGGCCUCCCAUGGGGUGUUCAGCCUGGGUGUGUAGAAGCACACAGUGUGGUACAGAGGACCCUCUCCAGACAGCUGCCUCCCACCAACCCUAGAAAUGAUGCUGGGAGCUGACAGAAACUGAACUUAGGAGCACAGGAGGCCAGGAGACCUGGGACAGAGAACAGGAGGUGACCCCUCAUGCUGCUGCUCCCUCUGCUGAAACCCAAACUGCAAACCUCUCCUCUCCCUGCCUUCACCUUGCCCCACGGCUUCCACAGACAGUGCCUCAACCCCGAGGAAUGAAUCCGAAGUUCCAACACCACUGACUUUCCCAGGAACUCAGAGCCAGAGAGGGCCAAGGACCAGCUCGAGGACACACAGCCAGGGCUUCUUCCCUCCGAAACCCCCAAGGACUGGACUUGCAGGGCUGGGACAGAGGUGGGGUGGGGGAAAGCAAUGCCUUGUCAACCCACGUGGGGAGCCCCACUCCCAUCCCCAAGGUGCAUAAAGUUGAGGAACACCCCUGCUCCCACGUCCAUGCUCAUUCAGGGCCCUGCUCCAAGUGCUUGGCACUCACACCAG